AGAGUUUGAUCCUGGCUACAGAACGAACGCUGGCGGCAUGCCUAACACAUGCAAGUCGAACGAAGCCUUCGGGCUUAGUGGCGCACGGGUGCGUAACGCGUGGGAACCUGCCCCUUGGUUCGGAAUAACAGUUAGAAAUGACUGCUAAUACCGGAUGAUGACGGAAGUCCAAAGAUUUAUCGCCGAGGGAUGGGCCCGCGUAGGAUUAGCUAGUUGGUGAGGUAAUGGCUCACCAAGGCGACGAUCCUUAGCUGGUCUGAGAGGAUGAUCAGCCACACUGGGACUGAGACACGGCCCAGACUCCUACGGGAGGCAGCAGUGGGGAAUAUUGGACAAUGGGCGAAAGCCUGAUCCAGCAAUGCCGCGUGAGUGAUGAAGGCCUUAGGGUUGUAAAGCUCUUUUACCAGGGAUGAUAAUGACAGUACCUGGAGAAUAAGCUCCGGCUAACUCCGUG
This 454-nucleotide ribosomal RNA is filed under the name uncultured bacterium. RNAcentral describes it as "bacterial SSU rRNA". It matches the Rfam family "Bacterial small subunit ribosomal RNA", at positions 8 to 507 of the family's 1533-position model. The record is from RNAcentral.